Long non-coding RNA from Gambusia affinis (western mosquitofish), 328 nucleotides. RefSeq lists it as uncharacterized. NCBI's taxonomy places the organism in Eukaryota, Metazoa, Chordata, Actinopteri, Cyprinodontiformes, Poeciliidae. The transcript is spliced from 3 exons. The record is from RefSeq and is a predicted model, not a curated record.
CUGUUCUCUCCUGAUCUCACAGUAGUAUUCACUAUGUGCCAAUGGUUCAUGCCUGCAGGGGGGCCACCAAAUCCAUUAUCAGAGGGCUCUGGACUCUGGGCUAUUGAGAAACAACUGCUUCCUGGAGGUACAGACUCUGUUGAGGUUUAAAGUUACUCAGUCACUACUAACCACUAUGAACAGGCAAGCGAGGCAGACUUCAAUUCUAAAACAGCCCAAACAAUGGAGUUGUUCACAACUUCUGUCUGCUGAUUGGCCUGGAGAAAUCCAUGUCAAUGGAGAAACCAUACAUGGAGCACUGAAGGAAGAUGAGAAUCGAGUAAAACUG